Molecule: non-coding RNA, 1737 nt
Organism: Musa acuminata subsp. malaccensis (wild Malaysian banana)
Lineage: Eukaryota; Viridiplantae; Streptophyta; Magnoliopsida; Zingiberales; Musaceae
Source: RefSeq, a predicted model, not a curated record
AAAUUCCAUGUGUUUUCUACUUCGUUUUGUGGAAGACGGAGAAGCCAGCGAAGAAGAGGAGGGGGGAGGAGACCGAAAGAAACAAGAAAGGAAUUCCAAGAGCAAUCGGUUUCGAUUAAUCGAUCGCCCUCGUUGUUUCUAUCAUAAGGGCUUGAAAGAAGGAUUGCCAUGAGAUUCAAGAAGGGGAAUAAGGUGGAGGUUUGGAGCAGGAGGGAGUUUGCAUCAGGCUCAUGGUGGAGUGCCGAGAUCAUCUCGGGUAAUGGGCAUAACUAUUCUGUGAGAUAUGAUGGGUAUCCAACAGACAGCAGUGUGGCAGUGGAUAGAGUGCCAAGAAAGGCCAUCAGACCCUGCCCUCCACCUGUGGAAGGCCUGAAGGAUGUGAAGUCUGGAGAUGUUGUCGAGGUUUUUGACAAUAAUUCAUGGAAGCUUGGUGAAGUUUUGAUGGUUGUCGAUAAGAAAUACUGUUCUGUGAGGCUCAUUGGAUCCUCUAGGGAGUUCAGAACCCAUAAUUCUCACAUAAGGAGACAUCUUUCUUGGCAGGACGAGCAGUGGGUGGCGAUUCAUAAGGAUUCUGGAAAACAACAUGGUGGAAUUCUAAACAGUUCAUCAAGAGGAGAGAAGUUUGGUUACCGUAAGCCUCAGUCAUGUGUAGAGAUGGUUAAUUCUUCUGGAAAGAGCCGUUUUCCUAUUGGAAGUCAUGAUUUUCCUGAGAAUACAAGAUGGGUUCUCCCAAGAGGCAUGAAGAAAAGGCCAUUGGAUUUAUCUAUUCCUUCAGAGAUGUGCAAUGAUGGUAGAAGAAAGACAAGGGCAGUCGAGAAAGAUGGGAAGUGUCACAGAAUGAUUACCAAGCGUCCAAUACAGUGUUUCGAAAAGGGCCAAAAUUGGAGGCUCCCAAACUUUGAUUCCAUAGGUCUGUGAUGAUGGUGGAGUUGUCAUGUCUUUUACACUGCGAUCAGUGUGGCAACACUUCCAUCUUAUUCUUAUGCAAUUGCUUUUGUAUGGUUGAAGAAUACCAUGAAUGGAUAGGUGGUGCAAGUAUGCUGCUGAGGAUGCAGGCAUGAUAUUGCAAUGGAUGUACUCUUAGAAAUGAUCAUUUUUCUAAACUAAACUCAAGUCCUACCACCUCUGCAUUCUUGCAUUAGUUAACAUAUAGGGAAAUUCAACAGGUAUUGUUUUCAGCAGUCAGUUUGCCUAAAAACACUCUAUUGAUUGGUUAAUUCUAGGAAAAAUUGCUUGCAUAUUUCUAUGAAUGCUUUUCUUUAAGGUCUCUUUGUUGACUAGGUACCACAAGCGUUGUUGCUUCAGUUAGGCAAAGUGCCAUAACACAGGUUAGCCACGAAGCUGCGUGAUGUUACUGUUGGAGUCAUGACAUUCCAAUGCAUAUGCAAAUGGCCAGCAAUUGUGCAGGACAUGCAGGACCAACUUCAUCAAUUGUACAUUUGCUGCUGGGUUGAUCAAUUAUGGGAAAUAUGAGCUGUAAACAUGUAGAUUAGAAAUUAGUUUUUAAAAAUGUCAUGUAUAUCAUAGGAUGUAUACCAAGAUGCGGGUGUCUGAUCUGUAUCCGAGAAGAUGUUUUGCUAUAGACACUUGAGUGGUGUAAUUGGUUCUAAUGUAUCAGAUCCUGAUAUAAACGUUUCCCAUGCUUACUUCUGUUGUUUUGAUUGGGAACUAGAUAUGUUGUCCUGUAACCUUUACUAAGCUUUAAAGAGUUAAGAUCAACUGCAGGUUCUUGCGGAA